GGCUUUAUCCCGAAGGGAGCCCUUACAAAAAUUCUCUUAGAGUCCGGUUAAGGUCUAAGAGGGGGUAUGGAAAUAGUUUUCAACCAGCAAUAGACGUGCCUCGGUUAGUACCUCAUUAGCUGCGUCAUUGCCCCAAGCGCAAAGAU
This 146-nucleotide small nuclear RNA is filed under the name Arabis alpina (gray rockcress). Its description in RNAcentral is "snRNA ENSRNAG00050204695". The record is from RNAcentral. Lineage: Eukaryota; Viridiplantae; Streptophyta; Magnoliopsida; Brassicales; Brassicaceae.